UUGGAAUUGAAUGAGCUUCAAAAGAGCAAACGGACUCCCCGAUCAAGUAAGAACACUGCCUCUGCUGUUCAAGCUAAACGCAAAGCCAAGAUCCUUAAGGAGCCGGUGGCUUCAAUUCAAUCAUGAAUCAUGAGACGCUGGGGCUCAUUUAUGCGCUUAUAAAUUUGAAUAUAGGCCUCCGACAAAGGAAGAACUUCGGGUAGAGCUGCUCCUGUAUGAAGAUCUUCCAUUUCAAACCAUUUUCCAGAACCUAUCAAAAUACAGAAUUAAAGAGUA
Molecule: long non-coding RNA, 276 nt
Organism: Tigriopus californicus
Lineage: Eukaryota; Metazoa; Arthropoda; Copepoda; Harpacticoida; Harpacticidae
Exons: 2
Source: RefSeq, a predicted model, not a curated record